GACGAACGCUGGCGGCGUGCUUAACACAUGCAAGUCGAACGGAAAGGCCCUGCUUUUGUGGGGUGCUCGAGUGGCGAACGGGUGAGUAACACGUGAGUAACCUGCCCUUGACUUUGGGAUAACUUCAGGAAACUGGGGCUAAUACCGGAUAGGAGCUCCUGCUGCAUGGUGGGGGUUGGAAAGUUUCGGCGGUUGGGGAUGGACUCGCGGCUUAUCGGCUUGUUGGUGGGGUAGUGGCUUACCAAGGCUUUGACGGGUAGCCGGCCUGAGAGGGUGACCGGCCACAUUGGGACUGCGAUACGGCCCAGACUCCUACGGGAGGCAGCAGUGGGGAAUCUUGCACAAUGGGCGGAAGCCUGAUGCAGCAACGCCGCGUGCGGGAUGACGGCCUUCGGGUUGUAAACCGCUUUCGCCUGUGACGAAGCGUGAGUGACGGUAAUGGGUAAAGAAGCACCGGCUAACUACGUG
RNAcentral lists this ribosomal RNA (468 nucleotides) under uncultured bacterium. RNAcentral describes it as "partial 16S ribosomal RNA". It matches the Rfam family "Bacterial small subunit ribosomal RNA", at positions 28 to 507 of the family's 1533-position model. The record is from RNAcentral.